Molecule: ribosomal RNA, 484 nt
Filed under: uncultured bacterium
Lineage: Bacteria
Description: partial 16S ribosomal RNA
Rfam family: Bacterial small subunit ribosomal RNA
Source: RNAcentral
AUUGAACGCUGGCGGCAUGCCUUACACAUGCAAGUCGAACGGCAGCACGGGUGCUUGCACCUGGUGGCGAGUGGCGAACGGGUGAGUAAUACAUCGGAACAUGUCCUGUAGUGGGGGAUAGCCCGGCGAAAGCCGGAUUAAUACCGCAUACGAUCUACGGAUGAAAGCGGGGGACCUUCGGGCCUCGCGCUAUAGGGUUGGCCGAUGGCUGAUUAGCUAGUUGGUGGGGUAAAGGCCUACCAAGGCGACGAUCAGUAGCUGGUCUGAGAGGACGACCAGCCACACGGGGACUGAGACGCGGCCCAGACUCCUAGGGGGGGCAGCAGUGGGGAAUUUUGGAAGAUGGGCGAAAGCCUGAUCCAGCAAUGCCGCGUGUGUGAAGAAGGCCUUCGGGUUGUAAAGCACUUUUGUCCGGAAAGAAAUCCUUGGCCCUAAUACGGUCGGGGGAUGACGGUACCGGAAGAAUAAGCACCGGCUAACUACG